GACGAACGCUGGCGGCGUGCUUAACACAUGCAAGUCGAACGGAAAGGCCCUGCUUUUGUGGGGUGCUCGAGUGGCGAACGGGUGAGUAACACGUGGGUAACCUGCCCUUGACUUUGGGAUAACUUCAGGAAACUGGGGCUAAUACCGGAUAGGAGCUCCUGCUGCAUGGUGGGCGUUGGAAAGUUUCGGCGGUUGGGGAUGGACUCGCGGCUUAUCAGCUUGUUGGUGGGGUAGUGGCUUACCAAGGCUUUGACGGGUAGCCGGCCUGAGAGGGUGACCGGCCACAUUGGGACUGAGGUACGGCCCAGACUCCUACGGGAGGCAGCAGUGGGGAAUAUUGCACAAUGGGCGGAAGCCUGAUGCAGCAACGCCGCGUGCGGGAUGACGGCCUUCGGGUUGUAAACCGCUUUCGCCUGUGACGAAGCGUGAGUGACGGUAAUGGGUAAAGAAGCACCGGCUAACUACGUG
This 468-nucleotide ribosomal RNA is filed under the name uncultured bacterium. RNAcentral's name for it is "partial 16S ribosomal RNA". It matches the Rfam family "Bacterial small subunit ribosomal RNA", at positions 28 to 507 of the family's 1533-position model. The record is from RNAcentral.